This 431-nucleotide ribosomal RNA is filed under the name Triticum aestivum (bread wheat). Its description in RNAcentral is "partial small subunit ribosomal RNA". Lineage: Eukaryota; Viridiplantae; Streptophyta; Magnoliopsida; Poales; Poaceae. The record is from RNAcentral.
GAUGUAUUCCAUAAAUUCGAAGACAAACAAGGAGGUUUUGUUCAGUCGGAUACAAAUAGUUUGUUGAGCUUAUAUAAUGCAGCACAUCUGAGUAUCAAGGGGGAGGAUGUAUUUGACAUGGCAGUCUCUUUCACGAGAAGACACCUCCUCGGGGCAUUAGAAAAUUUGGAAUCACCAUUUGCAGGGGAAGUUUCUUCUUCCCUUCUUACACCUCCUUUUCGAAGAGUUGGGAUAUUAGAAGCAAGAAGCUACCUACCAUGUUACACAAACAAGGCUACACGAAAUGAAGCCAUAUUGGAGCUUGCCAAAUUGAAUUUUAAUAUUCUGCAACUUCAUUUUUGUGAGGAGUUGAAAGACGUCACAAUGUGGUGGAAUAAGAUCAAAAUGAAGUCAAGGUUGAGUUUUGUAAGAGACAGAAUUGUAGAAACUUA